AGAAGCGAAAGUGACGGUACCUGCAGAAGAAGCGCCGGCUAACUACGUGCCAGCAGCCGCGGUAAUACGUAGGGCGCAAGCGUUGUCCGGAAUUAUUGGGCGUAAAGAGCUCGUAGGCGGCUUGUCACGUCGAUUGUGAAAGCCCGGGGCUUAACUCCGGGUCGGCAGUCGAUACGGGCUAGCUAGAGUGUGGUAGGGGAGAUCGGAAUUCCUGGUGUAGCGGUGAAAUGCGCAGAUAUCAGGAGGAACACCGGUGGCGAAGGCGGAUCUCUGGGCCAUUACUGACGCUGAGGAGCGAAAGCGUGGGGAGCGAACAGGAUUAGAUAC
RNAcentral lists this ribosomal RNA (327 nucleotides) under Streptomyces sp. RNAcentral describes it as "bacterial SSU rRNA". It matches the Rfam family "Bacterial small subunit ribosomal RNA", at positions 459 to 785 of the family's 1533-position model. Lineage: Bacteria; Bacillati; Actinomycetota; Actinomycetes; Kitasatosporales; Streptomycetaceae. The record is from RNAcentral.